Molecule: ribosomal RNA, 254 nt
Filed under: uncultured bacterium
Lineage: Bacteria
Description: partial 16S ribosomal RNA
Rfam family: Bacterial small subunit ribosomal RNA
Source: RNAcentral
UACGUAGGGGGCGAGCGUUGUCCGGAUUCAUUGGGCGUAAAGAGCUCGUAGGCGGCUUGCUAAGUCGGGUGUGAAAUCCUCAGGCUCAACCUGGGGUCGCCACUCGAUACUGGUAUGGCUUGAGUCCGGUAGGGGAUCACGGAAUUCCUGGUGUAGCGGUGAAAUGCGCAGAUAUCGGGAAGAACACCCGUGGCGAAGGCGGCACUCUGGGACGGUACUGACGCUGAGACGCGAAAGCGUGGGGAGCGAACAGG